CCUACGGGAGGCAGCAGUGAGGAAUCUUGCGCAAUGGGGGAAACCCUGACGCAGCCACGCCGCGUGCCGGAAGACGGCCCUAUGGGUUGUAAACGGCUUUUGGUCGGGAAGAAUCUGGGGGUUUCGAUCUCCACUGACGGUACCGAUUGAAUAAGCACCGGCUAACUCCGUGCCAGCAGCCGCGGUAAUACGGAGGGUGCAAGCGUUGUCCGGAAUCAUUGGGUGUAAAGGGUGCGCAGGCGGGCGCCUAAGUCGGAGGUGAAAUCUUGCCGCUUAACGGUAAAAUUGCCCCCGAUACUGGGUGUCUUGAAUCUGACAGAGGUCGGUGGAAUUCGUAGUGUAGCGGUGAAAUGCAUAGAUAUUACGAAGAACACCAGUGGCGAAGGCGGCCGGCUGGGUCAGUAUUGACGCUGAGGCACGAGAGCGUGGGGAGCGAACAGGAUUAGAUACCCUGGUAGUCCACGCCGUAAACGAUGGAUACUAGCUGUCCGGCCUGCAUUGGCAGGCUGGGUGGCCAAGCGAAAGUGAUAAGUAUCCCACCUGGGGAGUACGUUCGCAAGAAUGAAACUCAAAGGAAUUGACGGGG
RNAcentral lists this ribosomal RNA (586 nucleotides) under uncultured bacterium. RNAcentral's name for it is "bacterial SSU rRNA". It matches the Rfam family "Bacterial small subunit ribosomal RNA", at positions 338 to 918 of the family's 1533-position model. The record is from RNAcentral.